Molecule: long non-coding RNA, 701 nt
Organism: Glossina fuscipes
Lineage: Eukaryota; Metazoa; Arthropoda; Insecta; Diptera; Glossinidae
Exons: 4
Source: RefSeq, a predicted model, not a curated record
UAGUUAUAUGAAAAUAUAUGUGAAUAUUUGAGUUGGAAUAUUUGAGAGGAGAAAAAAAGAUUUUUCAACGCUAACGAGUGCGCACAUAUUCAGUGUAAUGUAUCGCAACUUCAUUUUAGGCUCGUUCAUUGAAGAGGCAAAUAUAGAAAACCGCGAAGGACAAUAAAGUAUUACAACAAGAAUUCCGACCUCUCUGGCCUUCGGUAAAACUUCUUCACAUGGAAGACCGCCAAGGACAAGAUGCGGUUUCCCCAUUUUUUUUUCACUUUGUAUUUGUCCAAACAUAAAAAUAAUAAAAUAACUAAUAAAAUGUUGGUUAAUUUGAAGAGGCAAAUAUAGAAAACCGCGAAGGACAAUAAAGUAUUACAACAAGGCUUCCCUCAGUUAUUGACGAAUUCUAACGGAAAAUUUAACGAUAAAUAUUGGAAAGCUGGCGUCAACGAUACAUGAUUUGCCUCUUGGCGACAAUCAACUGUAUCCCGAUAAUCACGGCGACAAUUCCCUAUUCACAUCGUUACCUCCAUGAAUUUCGGUUAAAAAUACGAAUUUUGCCCGCAAUCAAGCCAACGUGAUCCUCUAAAGAAAUCCCAACAAAACACUGUCGUAAAGAACAGUGGACGCAUUGGCUUCAAAUACGCAAAGAUUAACAUGGUAUCGAACUAUAUGUACUUUUUAAUUCAUCCCUUAUCACGUUUCCAAGC